This 407-nucleotide ribosomal RNA is filed under the name uncultured bacterium. Its description in RNAcentral is "bacterial SSU rRNA". It matches the Rfam family "Bacterial small subunit ribosomal RNA", at positions 355 to 776 of the family's 1533-position model. The record is from RNAcentral.
UGGGGAAUAUUGGGCAAUGGGCGAAAGCCUGACCCAGCAACGCCGCGUGAGGGAAGAAGGUUUUCGGAUUGUAAACCUCUGUCCUCAAGGAAGAAGCAAGUGACGGUACUUGAGGAGGAAGCCCCGGCUAACUACGUGCCAGCAGCCGCGGUAAUACGUAGGGGGCGAGCGUUGUCCGGAAUGACUGGGCGUAAAGGGCGCGUAGGCGGCCGUACAAGUCUCACGUGAAAGUCCUGCUUUCAAGGUGGGAAUUGCGUGGGAAACUGUAUGGCUUGAGUGCGGAAGAGGUAAGUGGAAUUCCCAGUGUAGCGGUGAAAUGCGUAGAGAUUGGGAGGAACACCAGUGGCGAAGGCGACUUACUGGGCCGUAACUGACGCUGAUGCGCGAAAGCGUGGGGAGCGAACAGG